GGAAGAGCUCAGCACGCAGGGGUGGCGCACUACCCGCGUCUACCCGGUUCCGUGUACUGGAAAUUUUGUC
This 70-nucleotide microRNA precursor is filed under the name Culex quinquefasciatus (southern house mosquito). Its description in RNAcentral is "microRNA cqu-mir-2951 precursor". Lineage: Eukaryota; Metazoa; Arthropoda; Insecta; Diptera; Culicidae. The record is from miRBase by way of RNAcentral.